Molecule: non-coding RNA, 270 nt
Organism: Pelobates cultripes (western spadefoot toad)
Lineage: Eukaryota; Metazoa; Chordata; Amphibia; Anura; Pelobatidae
Source: the annotation of a GenBank genome assembly
ACCGCGCCUAAUAAUUUAUAUAUGUAAAAAAUACAUACAUGUAUCCUUGAAUAUUCUAAAUAAUCAUAACCUCAAAAAGAAUUAAGAUAAAAAAUAAUAGUGCAAUACAGUAAAUAUUCUCUUAAAGACAGGUGGUUUAAAACUAUGUACAGUCCACUCACAUAUGAAUGAGCUAUAACAGAGCUCUGCUGUAAAGCGCCUGGACGGUACAAUCCCCGUCUUUGGAUUUGUAGAAGUUGCCACGAAUAUUAGAUUAUUUAUUAAAAUAGC